This is a long non-coding RNA of Asparagus officinalis (garden asparagus), 1979 nucleotides long. RefSeq lists it as uncharacterized. The record is from RefSeq and is a predicted model, not a curated record. The transcript has 4 exons. NCBI's taxonomy places the organism in Eukaryota, Viridiplantae, Streptophyta, Magnoliopsida, Asparagales, Asparagaceae.
UAAACAAAACUCCACGAUUAUAAAAACCAUCGCCUAAAUACGGUUUAUUCGGAUCAAGCGUGGCGCGGGUUCAUCUUACCGCUUUGGCCCAAACCAUUAGAACCAUCGGAUCCGGUUCACCUCCACCGCGGACCUGGCAGAGAUACGAUGGAUCCGGUUCUCCGCCGCCGCGGUGUUCUGAUCCUCCUCCUCCUCUCCCAUAUCACCGCCGUCCUUCAAACGCCAUCACCCUCACGGUGCAGGCCCAAAAAAGUUGAGUCACAUAAAUGUUUGAACUAGAAGAGGCUGGGAGAGCUGGACGGAUGAAGGAAGGCAAUAAUGCUUCCACUAACAUGAAAUUCCAAGCAUGUACAAGUAAAAUUUUUAUUAUUUUUAGUGCCCCUUUUAAACAUAAUUAUUUGAUUAAUUUAGUUUUGUUUAUAGAGAUUAUUGAGAAAAUGCUUUUGUUUUUCCUGUAGAAGACAAAUUAUUUCUAAUUCCAAGUAAGAUGCACCCUUCUACUUUUGGAAUGACUGAAAUGCAUGAAUACAAGAACCACCAACUAAUUUUGGAUGCUAUCCAUUGUCAUUAAAAAAAACACCAAGAAUGAAACAUGUCAAAUAGUACUGCUGUUUAAUACUUUAUAUAGUCUCCCAAACCAUGCUUGAGUGACCUGUGUCCUAAUGUAUAGAACAUAUGCAGCUAGGUGAAUGAAGAGACAGGAAAUGGCUUUUCAAACAUAAUUUGUAGAACAUUUAUAAGGCACAUGUAGACACAAGAACUGGAUUUAAUAUAUCAUUUAGACUGAAUUGACCUAUUUGGUAACAAAAUGAACAUAACUUGAGCUCACCUUUAAGAAACAAAACAAAACUUGAGACUUGGAAACAUAAAUGGUAAUGUUCGACUUCAAACAACAUAAAAAUUGAUAAUGAGUCUUAAGGAACAAAGUCUGUGGAAGCUCAGCACCAUAAUAGGAAUCAUAAAAUGUCUGCGGAUGCCUAAUGCUGCAAACGCACUAGAUCAAGAUAUACAACUCCUGCAAGAUCAGCGCAUUGCUUUCUCUUGGACUGAAGACAAUGCUCAGAGCUGAACGAGAGGUCAAACAAGCUUUCAACAGGUUCAAAUCCUGCACCACAAAAUAAUGAAAGAAUAAUAAGUUGGGUAAUCUUCUAGAGGAUUGGUAGACUUUUCUUUAAGAAACCAUGAGAUAAAAGCAUUUUCACACCUCUGUUUCGCCCAGAGUUACCUUCCCCUCUACCAAAGUGCCAAUUAGUACUUUCAAUUCCUUGAAGAUUUCGACACUGCAUAGAGGGAGGGGUGUGUCGCAACCAUCUCAUCCAUGACUGUAAAUUUAACAAACCUGUUAGAAAACGCCCUCCUAUUCCCGUCCCUGGCGUGCACAACUCGGUAUUUAUUUCAGUGCUAUUACAGAUUGGCUUGUCAUCAAAACUGAACAGAGAAUCAUUACAUCUAAUAUGAAGAGGAAUCUUAGGAUCAGUAAGUUUUUUUUCUUGCGUUCCUCGGAGACAAUGCAAUCACCACUACCCACAUUUUAAAAGCAACAACCAGAUUCUGCGAACUGAAGUGAACCUGCCAAAGACAAGCAGUGCUGUAGGAUGCGAAAAUUGCUGGCAUGUAGGGAGGGGUUAGUGAGGUUCAUCGUUCCUAAUGAGAUGGCUGAGACGCCAGUUUCACUAAUUUCUGGAAUUGGUGUGAUCAAAGAGCUUGGAGCUUCCGUUAACAACUUAGUUGAGAAGGAGCUGGAACUUGGAGAAUCAGAAGUUUUGAUCUGUUGAAAGGUCGUAUGAUCUUCCAAUCCACUGAACAAAGUAUUCUCUCCUAAGAAGCUGAGGAAGGCAUUCUAAGCUAUAACCUUUACUAGUGAACUUGCAUUUAAUGUUUUAAUAUGUCUCAAACUUUCUGCCAAUAAGGUCAGAACUUUUGAUGGUAAUCUAGUAGUUUAUUCAAUAUAAUAUAAUGCAAUUUUUUUCUUUUUGAAA